AUAAAACCUUGAUCGAUAGGUCUGGGUAAUCUUGUGAAUGCGCAUCGUGCUAGGGAUAGACUGUUGCAAUUUUCAGUCUUGAACGAGGAAUUCCUAGUAAACGCAAGUCAUCAGCUUGCAUUGAUUACGUCCCUGCCCUUUGUACACACCGCCCGUCGCACCUACCGAUUGAAUGACUCGGUGAAAAAUUGGGACCGUGAGUCUGUUUGCUUAAUUGCGAGUGGAUUGAUGGGAACUUUUUUAAACCUCGCCAUUUAGAGGAAGGUGAAGUCGUAACAAGGUUUCCGUAGGUGAACCUGCGGAAGGAUCAUUACCACACCUAAAAACUUUCCACGUGAACUGUAUCAACCCCAUUAAUUGGGGGUUUUGUUUGGCGGUGAUCGCUAGCUUAAUUGCUGGUUGAUUACUGCUAGGCGAG
This 418-nucleotide ribosomal RNA is filed under the name Pseudoperonospora cubensis. Its description in RNAcentral is "bacterial SSU rRNA". The stretch from base 1 to 313 matches the Rfam family "Eukaryotic small subunit ribosomal RNA", at positions 1521 to 1831 of the family's 1831-position model. Lineage: Eukaryota; Oomycota; Peronosporomycetes; Peronosporales; Peronosporaceae. The record is from RNAcentral.